CAUGUUCCAUCAAAGAACUGUUACACAUGGUUUCCACUACAGAUGCAAGGAAAAAAAAAGUGUUCUCACGCUUUCUGCCUUUCUGAUUGGGACAGCCCAUAUUGAAUGGGAAAUACAAGA
Molecule: small nucleolar RNA, 120 nt
Filed under: Sorex araneus (European shrew)
Lineage: Eukaryota; Metazoa; Chordata; Mammalia; Eulipotyphla; Soricidae
Description: Small nucleolar RNA SNORA31 (ENSSARG00000019877.1)
Source: RNAcentral